This 169-nucleotide ribosomal RNA is filed under the name uncultured archaeon. Its description in RNAcentral is "partial 16S ribosomal RNA". It matches the Rfam family "Bacterial small subunit ribosomal RNA", at positions 338 to 524 of the family's 1533-position model. The record is from RNAcentral.
CCUACGGGAGGCAGCAGUGGGGAAUCUUCCGCAAUGGGCGAAAGCCUGACGGAGCGACGCCGCGUGAGCGAAGAAGGCCUUCGGGUCGUAAAGCUCGAUAGUGUGGGAAGAAGGAAUGACGGUACCACACGAAAGCCCCGGCUAACCACGUGCCAGCAGCCGCGGUAAU